This is a long non-coding RNA of Vidua chalybeata, 738 nucleotides long. RefSeq lists it as uncharacterized. The record is from RefSeq and is a predicted model, not a curated record. The transcript has 3 exons. NCBI's taxonomy places the organism in Eukaryota, Metazoa, Chordata, Aves, Passeriformes, Viduidae.
UCCAGGCCUUGCAGCGGCCCGGGACUCGGCCUCAGGCUCGGCCCGCCGAUACUCUGGGAAAGAAAUAAUUAAAUGGCUGCUUUGAUGGGAUAUCGGCAAAUAAUUUAAGAGUAAAAGGGAAAGGAUGGCCAGUGUUUAUAAAAAACCCAAACCCAAAACAAACGAACAAAACCCUCUCUUCACUGAUGCACAUUUUAAACUACAAACAGCUAAUCCUUACGCUAUUUCCUUGUAAACUAUUUAACUGUGACAAAAAGGGUGUUCUUUUUUAGCAUUUUAAACAGCUCAGAUGGAAGCAAGGAAAUUAGCAUGAAGUGAAAUAUUUGUGGGAGCUUAAUACAGUUAAAAUAUUGUUAUUUUGCCUGACAUAAGACUCUGGGGCCAAUUAACCAUUUCUAAUUAAGUAGCCUAAAACAGAACAGCACACAGCAAGAAACAGUGGCCGAAUAGUGAUGACCAAACCGUGGAAGGGAGACCGGCCGUGAACAUGAGAGAACCAGGAAACCAUUCUUGUGAGUGAAAAAUCACAGACCUCACCUGCAAAUUCUGUGCACAGAAGACUAUAAAAUCAUUCCUGUGGCUACAGAAUGAAUCACAGUACUGCAGCUCAUAUUUAUCAUUACAGCUCCUUGGAAGUCAAUGGAAUAAUAUUCGUUUGUCCGCUUUUGACUGAGAAUAUGACUGGAUAAAAUUUUAGUCAGAACUGAAGAAUAAACUAGAAACCUUGAGUGUUGUUAA